Molecule: small RNA, 76 nt
Filed under: Xanthomonas vesicatoria
Lineage: Bacteria; Pseudomonadati; Pseudomonadota; Gammaproteobacteria; Lysobacterales; Lysobacteraceae
Description: sX9
Source: RNAcentral
AGGUGCCAUGCGUAGACACCUGGCUUCCUGCGCACGGUCCGCACCCACAUAACGACUGCUGGCUACGUUUUUUUCC